This 431-nucleotide ribosomal RNA is filed under the name uncultured bacterium. RNAcentral's name for it is "partial 16S ribosomal RNA". It matches the Rfam family "Bacterial small subunit ribosomal RNA", at positions 29 to 507 of the family's 1533-position model. The record is from RNAcentral.
AACGAACGCUGGCGGCAGGCUUAACACAUGCAAGUCGAACGCCCCGCAAGGGGAGUGGCGCACGGGUGAGUAACGCGUGGAUAUCUGCCUUUUGGUUCGGAAUAACCCCGGGAAACUGGGGCUAAUACCGGAUGGUUCCUACGGGAUAAAGAUUUAUCGCCAAAAGAUGAGUCCGCGUACGAUUAGCUAGUUGGUGAGGUAAUGGCUCACCAAGGCGACGAUCGUUAGCUGGUCUGAGAGGACGAUCAGCCACGCUGGGACUGAGACACGGCCCAGACUCCUACGGGAGGCAGCAGUGGGGAAUAUUGGACAAUGGGGGCAACCCUGAUCCAGCCAUGCCGCGUGAGUGAUGAAGGCCUUCGGGUUGUAAAGCUCUUUUGGCGGGGACGAUGAUGACGGUACCCGCAGAAUAAGCCCCGGCUAACUUCGUG